This 402-nucleotide ribosomal RNA is filed under the name uncultured bacterium. RNAcentral's name for it is "bacterial SSU rRNA". It matches the Rfam family "Bacterial small subunit ribosomal RNA", at positions 353 to 772 of the family's 1533-position model. The record is from RNAcentral.
AGUGGGGAAUCUUGGACAAUGGGCGAAAGCCUGAUCCAGCCAUGCCGCGUGAGUGAAGAAGGCCUUAGGGUUGUAAAGCUCUUUUACCCGGGAAGAUAAUGACGGUACCGGGAGAAUAAGCCCCGGCAAACUUCGUGCCAGCAGCCGCGGUAAUACGAAGGGGGCUAGCGUUGUUCGGAUUUACUGGGCGUAAAGCGCACGUAGGCGGAUUGUUAAGUCGGGGGUGAAAUCCUGGAGCUCAACUCCAGAAUUGCCUUCGAUACUGGCUUUCUAGAGGCUGGAAGAGGUUAGUGGAAUUCCCAGUGUAGAGGUGAAAUUCGUAGAUAUUGGGAAGAACACCAGUGGCGAAGGCGGCUAACUGGUCCAGAUCUGACGCUGAGGUGCGAAAGCGUGGGGAGCAAA